GAAUGCCUUUCCCUAUUUUCAGCCAUGACUUCUUCCUUUUUCGGCCAUUGACACUAUCGCUCGUGGUGCUGCACCUUGGAUCAUGACCCUUAGCCUUCCCAUAACCCUCCACAGUGACAUCAUGACCGCUGGCAUAUGGCCAAUAACCAAAAAUGAAGAGGAAACCCAAGUCUGUCCUCUAGUCAUACUGACCGAUCCUCGUUGCCGGCUGUCUCUUACCCCACCGCUGU
RNAcentral lists this long non-coding RNA (230 nucleotides) under Elaeis guineensis (African oil palm). RNAcentral's name for it is "long non-coding RNA (EGUI_LNC022269)". Lineage: Eukaryota; Viridiplantae; Streptophyta; Magnoliopsida; Arecales; Arecaceae. The record is from RNAcentral.